ACGUUGUUGGUUCAGUGGUAGAAUUCUCACCUUCCAUGCCAGAGACCUGGGUUCAAUUCCCAGUCAAUGUA
RNAcentral lists this transfer RNA (71 nucleotides) under Loxodonta africana (African savanna elephant). It matches the Rfam family "tRNA". Rfam says of the family: Transfer RNA (tRNA) molecules are approximately 80 nucleotides in length. Lineage: Eukaryota; Metazoa; Chordata; Mammalia; Proboscidea; Elephantidae. The record is from Rfam by way of RNAcentral.